This 108-nucleotide small nuclear RNA is filed under the name Sorex araneus (European shrew). Lineage: Eukaryota; Metazoa; Chordata; Mammalia; Eulipotyphla; Soricidae. The record is from RNAcentral.
GUGCUUGCUUCGGCAGCCCAUAUACUAAAAUUGGAACAAUACAGAGAAGAUUAGCAAUGGCCCCUGCGCAAAGAUAACACGCAAAUUCAUGAAGUGUUCCAUAUGUUU